RNAcentral lists this ribosomal RNA (253 nucleotides) under uncultured bacterium. Its description in RNAcentral is "partial 16S ribosomal RNA". It matches the Rfam family "Bacterial small subunit ribosomal RNA", at positions 524 to 776 of the family's 1533-position model. The record is from RNAcentral.
UACGUAGGGGGCAAGCGUUGUCCGGAAUCAUUGGGCGUAAAGCGCGCGUAGGCGGCCCGGUAAGUCCGCUGUAAAAGUCCAGGGCUCAACCCUGGAAAGCCGGUGGAUACUGUCGGGCUAGAGUCCGGAAGAGGCGAGUGGAAUUCCUGGUGUAGCGGUGGAAUGCGCAGAUAUCCGGAGGAACGCCGGUGGCGAAGGCGGCUUCCUGGACCGACACUGACGCUGAGGCGCGAAAGCUAGGGGAGCAAACGGG